UCAGUUCGGAUUGGAGGCUGAAACCCGCCUCCAUGAAGUUGGAUUCGCUAGUAAUCGCGCAUCAGCCAUGGCGCGGUGAAUACGUUCCCGGGCCUUGUACACACCGCCCGUCACACCAUGGGAGCCGGGAGUGCCUGAAGUGUGCAACCGCAAGGAGCGCCCUAAGGUAAAACCGGUGACUGGGGCUAAGUCGUAACAAGGUAAC
RNAcentral lists this ribosomal RNA (205 nucleotides) under uncultured bacterium. RNAcentral describes it as "partial 16S ribosomal RNA". It matches the Rfam family "Bacterial small subunit ribosomal RNA", at positions 1288 to 1500 of the family's 1533-position model. The record is from RNAcentral.